UACGUAGGGGGCAAGCGUUGUCCGGAAUCAUUGGGCGUAAAGAGCGUGUAGGCGGUUCGGUAAGUCGGCUGUGAAAGUCCAGGGCUCAACCCUGGGAUGCCGGUCGAUACUGCCGGACUAGAGUUCGGAAGAGGCGAGUGGAAUUCCCGGUGUAGCGGUGAAAUGCGCAGAUAUCGGGAGGAACACCUAUGGCGAAGGCAGCUCGCUGGGACGUUACUGACGCUGAGGAACGAAAGCUAGGGGAGCGAAUGGG
Molecule: ribosomal RNA, 253 nt
Filed under: uncultured bacterium
Lineage: Bacteria
Description: partial 16S ribosomal RNA
Rfam family: Bacterial small subunit ribosomal RNA
Source: RNAcentral